RNAcentral lists this microRNA (19 nucleotides) under Bombyx mori (domestic silkworm). Its description in RNAcentral is "bmo-miR-2778a-2-5p". Lineage: Eukaryota; Metazoa; Arthropoda; Insecta; Lepidoptera; Bombycidae. The record is from miRBase by way of RNAcentral.
GUUUUUUUGUAUAUCCUGC